This is a long non-coding RNA of Cucurbita maxima (winter squash), 1291 nucleotides long. RefSeq lists it as uncharacterized. NCBI's taxonomy places the organism in Eukaryota, Viridiplantae, Streptophyta, Magnoliopsida, Cucurbitales, Cucurbitaceae. The transcript has 4 exons. The record is from RefSeq and is a predicted model, not a curated record.
UCCUUCGGGUUGUAAGUUGGGCCGACAAAGGACGAAAAAUGGUACGCUGCGGUCGGAACAAUCUGUCGACGGUCGGCCGAUCCGAUGACCUGACGGAGACAAUUACAAUAAACGGCGGAACUUGUGACUUUUUAGACAAGUUUUCGUGGAGAAACCAGCUGUGACGGUGGAGGGAGGUUGCUGCCGUGUGCGACGACACGUGUCACUCAGGUGGCCCAGUCCCCGCCUUCGGUGGUUUCAAAUAUUUGCCACGUUUUUUCCUCUCUCUGUUUAAAACUGCUUUUCGUUCUCAUUUUCUCUCUCUAAUCGGAAAAUGGAAAGGAAAGCGGAUGCGGUUAGUGAUUCAAAAGCCUCUGCCGCUUCCGAAGUAAUUUCGUUUUUUCUUCGUGAGAUUAUUUGGUACCAGAAGCAGCGGCGAUUGUGUGCGCCGUCGUCAUGAGCGGCAGAAUACGGCCAUGCACGAUCGUUCUGAGAGAGAAACAUGAGCAUGUUCUCUAAUCGAUCUUCUCGCGCAGUUCUUCGGGGAAAUAGCUUGCGAAUUUCCUUCGGUGCUUAUAUGAAGGAAAAGUUUGUGCUCCCAAACUGUUGCAAGAAAAUGGAAAUUUCUUGUGGUUCUAGUGGUUUUUAUUUUAUAAUUGUUUAUUAUUCCGUCCGUUGGGGAUAUUUGUUUUCCUUUUGUCGCUUUCCGAAGGUCUCGAAAGCAGAUUGGAGAGCGAGGGCUCAAUCUCAUUAUACGGUGGGCGGUGGAUAAAGCUGAGGAGAUGCUGCCGCCGCAGCGAGGACAGUAGAAAAAAGUUGAAAUUGCUGCAGCAGCUGCUGUUGCUGGUGUGGAAAAGACAUCAAAAUUCAAAAGAAGUAUGCUCUCGAAAGGUCAGAAUGACUUCUAAUAAAGCUGAAAAUGCAUUAAUAUGAUGGUUGCCUGUCAGAACACAGCAGUAGUGCCGCUUGGUAAAGUUGAAGCAUCCCCAUUUUUUGAAGCCUAACCCCAUUUCACAAACUUCCCAGCUUAUCUCCAACACUCUGGAGAGUACCAGACGCCCUAGAGACCUUAGGUAUGGGCUAUUGAUUUCAGCAAACUAUAUGGAGCAAUGCCAUUGAUGGAAGCAUUCAAAAGCUUGUCGUCUGGAGACCGCUUUAGAUGAUUCAUUGACGUAAUUAAAAGAGGUCCCGGGCUCCAUUAUUGGACUGGUGAAACAUGUUUAGAUCUUCACUUGAAGACUCGUCCGGAGCUCCAUUGCUUCCUCCAAAUGCCAUCAUCGAAGAAAUUGGAACUGCCGGCAAUUGAUGGUGG